Phrynosoma platyrhinos (Desert horned lizard) is the source of this 71-nucleotide non-coding RNA. NCBI's taxonomy places the organism in Eukaryota, Metazoa, Chordata, Lepidosauria, Squamata, Phrynosomatidae. The record is from the annotation of a GenBank genome assembly.
GCCAGCAUGGUGGAGUGGUUUUCAUAUUGGACUAUGACUCUGGAGACCAGGGUUUGAUUCCCAGUUUGGCC